GAUGAACGCUAGCGCAGGCCUACACAUGCAAGUCGAGGGAGAAGCCUUUCGGGGCAGAAACCGGCGCACGGGUGCGUAACGCGUAUGCAACCUACCUUUCACAGGGGGAUAGCCCGAAGAAAUUUGGAUUAAUACCCUAUAACAUUGUGAGAUGGCAUCAUUUAGCAAUUAAAACUACGGUGGUGAAAGAUGGGCAUGCGUCCUAUUAGCUAGUUGGAGUGGUAACGGCACCCCAAGGCUACGAUAGGUAGGGGUCCUGAGAGGGAGAUCCCCCACACUGGUACUGAGACAGGGACCAGACUCCUACGGGAGGCAGCAGUGAGGAAUAUUGGUCAAUGGUCGGAAGACUGAACCAGCCAUGCCGCGUGCAGGAAGAAUGCCUUAUGGGUUGUAAACUGCUUUUAUAUGGGAAGAAUAAGGUGUACGAGUACAUU
Molecule: ribosomal RNA, 434 nt
Filed under: Capnocytophaga gingivalis
Lineage: Bacteria; Pseudomonadati; Bacteroidota; Flavobacteriia; Flavobacteriales; Flavobacteriaceae
Description: bacterial SSU rRNA
Rfam family: Bacterial small subunit ribosomal RNA
Source: RNAcentral